CUUUGUUAAUGAAACGUAGAAGGUUAAGUUGUAUCACCUUUAUCAAGCAGCAUGAGUGAAGUUCAUCAUUACACUCUUUAAGUAAAAAUAAUAUGACAGCAGACCAGUGGCAGUUGUAUGAUAGGUAAAAAUAGCAGGGAUCCGCUUGCAUCCUGACCUCUUCAAGAUAAUCAUGGAUCUUCUAGCUGCAAACAUCCCACCACAUGCUUGUACUGGCAUUAUUGAAGGAGCUCAAGGGGAAGGUGCCCUACCAAAGUGAUUGUCUGAAUGAUAAUCACGCAAGUGAUAGUAGUAGAUGAAAUAAAACUAUUGUCAGUCGUGAUAGUCUGUCUAAUGUAAAAUUGUUCUUUUGCUGCUAUUUCUUAGCUGCACAAGAUGUUAAUGGAAACUUGGUUAUUUAGUAUCAGGGGAGUGGUGUCAGUUUCAUGUGCUAUUAGUAUUUGUGACGUGUAAAUCAGUGAAUUAAUCCUUAUGAUAAAGAUAUUUAUUUUGUGACAUUUUCUUUUUGUUAUGAAUUAUUUGAUCAUAAAAAAUAAUUUGGCAUCUUAGGGUAUGAGACUAUCAAAGAUGUAUUUUAAGAAGCAGGUGGCUUUUCUACAGCUUAUGAAACUCCACACUGAAAUAAACAUGCCCUUAAUAUUUAUUAGUUGGAUCAAGAUACCUCACAGGUACAGGAAUCUACGUACAAUACUGAAGUUUUAGUUUCAGACCUAGUGGAAACUCAUUUUAAAGAAUCUCAUUGUGCUUGGAAAGAAUUUUUGUGUACAGUACCUUUAAAACUUUUGUAUUUUUGAAACACUGUUUAAAAUCUUCAGCAGCAGUACCUAUUGCCAAUUGUCAUAUGUAGUUAUUUACUGGUACAGUAUUCUAAGCACUUGUUCUUGAAACAAUGUGUAGUUUUUAUGAAGCGAUGUUUUGUAAAUUAGUUGAAAAAACUCGUAUGUAUAAAUUGUUUCUUUACCUUUAGUGAUUCAAAGUGAUUAUACAGUUGUAAAUUAGUUGAAAAAUCUCUCAUAUGUAUAACUUGUUUCUUUACCUUUAGUGAUUCAAAGGGAUUUUGCAGAUGUAAAGAUAGUAUAGUAUGUAAUAUGUUGAUGUAUUAUUCGUUUUUUAAUUUGUAAAGAUUUGAAAAAUUAUGCAUACCAUUUAUGUAUUGAUGUUGGACAACAUUUGGAUGACAUCUAUAGAGUGAGGGAUGAUUCAAGUUUAUCUCCCACAAAACAAGGUGCUUCAAAGUGAAUUAUUCAAUAAAAACAAAAAAUAUAUAAACAGUG
Long non-coding RNA from Macrobrachium nipponense, 1274 nucleotides. RefSeq lists it as uncharacterized. The transcript has 3 exons. The record is from RefSeq and is a predicted model, not a curated record. NCBI's taxonomy places the organism in Eukaryota, Metazoa, Arthropoda, Malacostraca, Decapoda, Palaemonidae.